ACUCCUACGGGAGGCAGCAGUGGGGAAUAUUGCACAAUGGGGGAAACCCUGAUGCAGCGACGCCGCGUGAGCGAAGAAGUAUUUCGGUAUGUAAAGCUCUAUCAGCAGGGAAGAUAAUGACGGUACCUGACUAAGAAGCACCGGCUAAAUACGUGCCAGCAGCCGCGGUAAU
This 172-nucleotide ribosomal RNA is filed under the name uncultured Roseburia sp. RNAcentral describes it as "partial 16S ribosomal RNA". It matches the Rfam family "Bacterial small subunit ribosomal RNA", at positions 335 to 524 of the family's 1533-position model. The record is from RNAcentral. Lineage: Bacteria; Bacillati; Bacillota; Clostridia; Lachnospirales; Lachnospiraceae.